UAGCCACACAGUGUGUCUGACCUCUGCAGAUCAUCCACACGAAGCUUCCGAUCUGAUCGGCUCCUCACGAAUGCUAGUUCGUGGCUGAAUCCUUUUGAUGGCCGAUGUUGAUCGAACUCCUUCGAUCUUGAUCUGUCGACUCCUCAGAUACUCUGGAUCAUCAACAGAUGUACUUGAGAGGUUGAUGAUGCUCUCCCUAAAAUCUGGUGGACUCACGAUACUCGUAGCUCACUUUCUCACUUCUCGAACCCUAAGCCAAAACCCUUGGGUACACUCCGAAGAAACUUGCGCCCACUUGUUUCUUUCUUUUCUC
This 313-nucleotide long non-coding RNA is filed under the name Elaeis guineensis (African oil palm). RNAcentral describes it as "long non-coding RNA (EGUI_LNC055461)". Lineage: Eukaryota; Viridiplantae; Streptophyta; Magnoliopsida; Arecales; Arecaceae. The record is from RNAcentral.